Rattus norvegicus (Norway rat) is the source of this 1773-nucleotide non-coding RNA. Lineage: Eukaryota; Metazoa; Chordata; Mammalia; Rodentia; Muridae. The record is from RefSeq and is a predicted model, not a curated record.
UAUAAAGUAGCACCAAAAAUAGUUCUAUGGUUGGGGGUCACCACAUGAGGAACUGUAUUAAAGGGUCGCAGUGUGGGGAAGACUGAACCACUGUGCUAGCUGCUGAUCCUAACGUGCCCCAGGAACUUCCGGUCCACGUGAACUUCUGAUUCCCCCAGACCUUUACCAACACUCAAUUUUGUUUCUGUCAUUUUGAGAAAUGAAAACUAUUCAAGUAUAUACAUUUUGUCAUUAAUUAACUACCACUUAUAGUUUGAUUUCUUUUGGAAAAUGGAUUUCCCCUGAUGUCUAAUAGAAUUCUAGAAUUUUCCUUGUUGACUGUAAUGUCUUUCCUAUAUAUUAACAUUAACCUUUUUGUCUGAUGCAGACUGAAAUGUUUUCCUCAACUUUUAAUGGUGAGGGGGGUUUUGCCACCUUAAAAUUCACAUAUCUGUCUACAUAGAGAUGAGUCACCAACUCCCAGAGAAUGGAUUCAUUCACUUUCUUUGCUUCUAGUCCUAAAAAUUGAUUUUUAAAACUAAGCAGUCACACAGUCAACAUUAAUGUGUAAGAAACAGCUGCCAUGGGUAAAGGAAAAAAUACUUGGUAAGCAAGCUAUAUAAAAAUAUUACUGUUGAAGGACCUUAGCUUUUUAGAAUCGUGAUUUUAUAGUGAGUUUGACGAUGGGGGAAAGCGAACUGAUGAAUGAUUCACAAAGGCGGUGUGGACACACCGAGCAACUGACUCCCCCGAGUCCCAGCAUUACAAUUGAUCAAACAGAACUGAACCACGCCAUCUGGCUUCUGUAUGAACUCCCCCGCAGUCAAUUCCUGAAAACCAAAGCUCGUAACCAAGCGUCAUUAAUCUGAGCAUUCUGGAAGUUAGAGAAAGAUAAAAACAUAAAACGUUCAAGGUCUGUCCUGCCUACAAGAUGUGCAGGGACAAAAAGAUAGAGCAGAAACUGAGGGAGUGGCCAACCAAAGACCGCCCCAAAUUGAGACCCAGCCCAUGGGCAAGAACCAAUCCCUGACACUGUUAAUGGUACGCCAUUACGCUUGCAGACUAGAGCCUAGAAUAACUGCCCUCUGAGAGGCUCCACCCAUCGGCCAAUGGAAAAAGAUGGAGAGACUCAGCAAAAUACUAGAUGGCGCUCAGGGAGUCUUACAGAAGAGUUGGGAGAAAAAAAAAAUAGGGACCCAAAGAGGACAGGGACUCCACAGAAAGACCAAGAGUCAACUAUCUGGACCGUUGGGGCCUCCCAGAGACUGAAUCACCAGAGCAAGCACGAGCCUCGACCUAGGCCCCUGCACGCAUGUAGCAAAUGAACAGCUGGAGCCUAACCCUAACCAGGCUGAUUUCGAAUUACAUCUCUUAAGCGUGUAAAUCCAAAAGUAAACAUUUCCCUGAAUUAAUACCGAACCGUCAGUCUGCGAGUGAGUAGACUGACCAGAAUCUCAGCCUGCUUCUGAAUGACACCGGAAAUGAUGACAUAUGUCACCCUGGAAAUCAGGUUCCAUGCACCUGAGAGACCAGAGGUUUUGAAGAUGAAGAAAGAUCGUUGAGAGAGAACGGGGAUGGAUUAUCCAGCCAAAGGGCAUUUUAAUUUAAUUUGGGAUGAGGAAGCAACAUCCACAUAAAAAUCUGUGCCAAUGACAGAAACUGGGCACACAGAAGCCACCUGCUUGGCCUGGAUCGUGAGUUCCCCUUUCUGUCUUCUGACCUGGACCCUCUUGGUGAGCCUCCAUUUUGGUUCCUUUCUUCAUUAAAACCUGGAAUAAAAGUCAGCCUCUCCCA